Long non-coding RNA from Camelus dromedarius (Arabian camel), 1468 nucleotides. RefSeq lists it as uncharacterized. NCBI's taxonomy places the organism in Eukaryota, Metazoa, Chordata, Mammalia, Artiodactyla, Camelidae. The record is from RefSeq and is a predicted model, not a curated record. The transcript is spliced from 2 exons.
UUCUAACCAGCAAUCAAGGUUGUGACACCAGGGGGCAAAGAUCGUGGGGGCAAGUGAACAAUUCUGCCUUAUGAUGGUCACCACCACUCCCCCUGAACCACUGUCUCGGGGCCCUGGUUCCCCUCCUGAUUGCCGAGUCCAGCAGCCUCUUCUGUUCUCACCCUCAGCAGCACGAAGCAGUGCUCUCCACCCUCCUGACACUUCUUAGGGUUUUCUGAUGCUGCGCUCUCCCGGUUUCCCUACCAGAGCGCCAGAGUAGGAUCAAAGAAAACAGAUGAAAAUUGCAGUCGAACGGAACCAGGUCUCAAUCCAAGCUCUGUCUCUUACCGGGACGACCCCACAAGUAGCUUGUGUCUGCUGCUUGAAAGAUGUGGACAGCAACUGGAACACGCAAAGGCACUCUUCCUCCCCCUUCUCUCCUUUCCCGUUUUGGUUUCCCUUCAGUAGCUCCCGUUAGCAGAACGUAAGCAGAAGCCAGGAAUUUCUAGCAAGGCAGCUGAGAAAUACAGAUUGUGGGCUCCAGCCGCCGCAGAUCGGAGCAGUGUGAAACGUGGUCUCCAGGCUGAGCGUCAGCAGGGACACACUCACGGGGCUCCAGUACAUCCUGCCACACCUGGCUAAUGCCAUCCUUCUGGGACUGCGGAUUGUGAGCGGAACAACAAAUCCAGCCGGAGACUGGAUUCCUCCCAGCUGCCUGGGCUCGCUGCCCUCUGGUCAGGACCAGGCUCACCUCCUCCCUGUCUUGCUCUGCACUUUAUCAAAGGUAACGUGGGGAACGGAUAACCUCUGAGUUCCCACUGCUGGCGCAGGAGGAGAUAAGGUAGAUCUUUUGACAAGAAAGAAGUGGAAGCAGAAAGAGAAGUAAAAGAUUGUAAACAAGAUUUAAAAAGUAAACAGCGAUCCAAGAAAGAAACACAGACUGAACGGUCGUUGCUUUCCCUUUGACGUUUAUGCUUCCCCAGAUGUGUGCUAGAUCACCGUGACAAGGCCUCUCGGGCCCCUUGAGGAGUGACGGACAGGUCUCUGGGAUCGGGUUUGGCCACCCCUUCCCCUCCCCCAGCCACCCGCCAUCACCCCAGAUUCCUGACAUUUCAUGGACGUUUCUGGCGAUGAGAGGGGAGGGACUGCCCCAGUCGCCACACUGUCCUGAACACACCGCUCUGAAAUGCUCUCUCUGCGUGGUGCUUUUUCCUGCUGUCUGUUCCCCAGAUUCCUUGUCGACUCAGUGGAGAGGCCAGGCGAGCAGAGCACACACAGCCAGAACGAAAGCCCGAGCGCCGUCUUCAGCUCCUGACCGUCCCUCUCCGCUUCUCUGCAGCGCUGGGCUUGGUUUUCUUCCCAUUUCCGUCUCGGAGUCUGUGCGGGGGUGCACGUGCUUCUGAGCUUCUGUCUGUCUCUAUUAAUACAUGGCUUAAUCAUGCAGAAUGGUUCACUUUACUUUUUUUUUUUUUUCAAUAUUAGGCACUCA